Myripristis murdjan (pinecone soldierfish) is the source of this 1936-nucleotide long non-coding RNA. RefSeq lists it as uncharacterized. The record is from RefSeq and is a predicted model, not a curated record. The transcript is spliced from 3 exons. Lineage: Eukaryota; Metazoa; Chordata; Actinopteri; Holocentriformes; Holocentridae.
CUCUGGUUCCAGUCGGGAGGACGAGGCGAGACGCUCUUAGCUAGCGGAGCUAACUGGACAAAAUUGGUUUUAUACUCGAGCAUAGGCUUGAAAACUUUUAAUUUGGGGGGCGAAGAUGGAAAUACAGCGCCUUGGUGCCCAGCAGGGAUGUUGUACCACUCAAACUAACCGCGGGUUUAUCGUCGGAGAGGAACUUUUGCACCGUGACGGCAGAGCCACGGCUCAGGCCGUCCACGCCGUCCGCCAGGCCCCGGAGUUCCGGAGCGGUCCGUCCGGAGGAGGAGCCGCCGGGCCGCCUCUUCUUGACGUCUGAUACCUACCCAGAUGUCACACUUGCCAGGGAAGAACCUCUCGGGGAUGCGGGCGGCGUACAGACAGGCUCCAGUGAUGUAGAGCAUCGCCAUGAGCAGCAGCCAGCCCAUCUGCCCGAUGGUGGUCGCUCGGAUCAGACCCUCGCUGAUGACGAAGUGGAGGGUGGGAACCACACCGCUCAGACCCAGACCCACAAACACACCUGCAAACAGACAGAGAGAGAGAAGACUCUGGAGACGCCCUCAGAGUGGCAGUACACUGUAUGGAAGAGCCAGGAGAAGGAGAGGCAGAGGAUGGCUCCCAGGAAAAACAUCCCGAUCACCACUUUCUCCUGAACCGGAGCCACGAAUGACAUGUUGGGCCUGAACAUGUACAUCAGCCCGAGACAGAGGAAGAACAGACAACCUGGAGGGCAGAGAGAGACAGAGAGAAUGAGACUGCCAUUAAUUAAGAAAAACAAGGCAGCUGUGGACCACUUAUGAUGUGUAACGGUCAAUCAGUAACACAUACGUCAUGUUUUAAACAGUAACAGGAGUGUUACCCUUUGACAAAUCACUGUUAUUUCUAAAAUACUGGAGUGCAGUGAGUGUUGCCAGAGAUACUAUGUGUAACAAGCACACAAAUAAGAGACCAACAGUCCAAAACAAACAACAUCAACAGUAUUGACAUAUUCUAUAAUGAGUCAGUUCAAGUCACAACACAUUUUGUUGCAGUAUCUCCCUCAAGCCACUAGGUGGGAGCAGAGCAGCGGCAAACCAAGCAGAAACUGUUUUCCAAACCAUUAGAAACUUGAGUGGCUCUUGAGCGGUGCUAGAGAAGAAAUGCUGCCUCGGCUUUAAAGUGCAGAGGUGAGAACAGCUGUUUCAAAUGGGACGGAAAGUGAAGCUGGCACCCGCUCAGACUCACACAGAGCUCGCUGGGUUACAUUUGAAGGAGCUCUUUGUCUCCUUACACAACCCUCCGGCUCAGCUGUUGACACAGUAAUGCUUAUAAAAAGCUAAUCAGCCCGAUUUUGCCCUCUGCCAGUGUGACAUUUUAUGUAAGAACCGGUUAUCUGACCCUGCUCUUUAUCUAUUCACUGUUUUUUUCUCAGCUAAAUAUAUUAGAGAGUCAGACAAAUACCUAGAGAAGCAAAAAAUACUGAGCACUACUUGGCAAACUUCAUCAUCUCAUUCAAAUAUCCAACAGUCAGUCGCAGCACAGGCCUGUGUGUGUGUGUUGUACCUAGCAGGUGUGUCCAGAUGUUUCCCGUCUCCGUGUGGAUUCUAAAGAUGCUCUUGAAACAGGCGCGGAACGAAGGCAUCGGUGGCCUGUGACCGUGAAGCAGGAAGUCGUUGUCCUUCAGCCAAUCAGGGAGCACGUCAUGGGGGAUGACGCGCCACCGGCCCUCCCACACCUGAUUAGUUGAAAAAGGCGCACAGGAGGAGUGUGUGUGUGUGUUAAAGCAAUGUCAAUUUGAGCUUCUCAAUAAAAACUUAAAUAGCUGUAAACAAGGUAUGAUGUUUGCAUGCAACUAAAGGAUCCCAAAUAAUCUGAUUGUUAGUGUGAAAUAAAAAAAAAAAAGGUAUCCACAGAUUAAAACAGUAAAUUUACGACAGUUACAGUUAAAACUUUUUGUCUAUAU